Molecule: transfer RNA, 72 nt
Filed under: Candidatus Peregrinibacteria bacterium
Lineage: Bacteria; Candidatus Peregrinibacteriota
Description: tRNA-Thr
Source: RNAcentral
GGGGGUAGGUGAGGUACCACCACAAGACUUGUCACCUUUGUGGUUGGGGUUCGACUCCCCAUACCUCCACCA